UGGUGCGAUCAUACCAGCAAUAAUACUAAGAUGAGUGUAAACAAUACUAAGAUUAUCAGAACUCUAAAUUUAAGCUUGCUUGGGUGUAAACAAUACUAAGAUGAGUGAUCUCCUGAAAAGUACUCAGGUUGCACCCCUCUUUUCUCAUUCUACAAAAAAAACCAAAAGAUUAUCAGUAGACGUUGCGUCAGGAAAAUGGGAGGAAACAUCAUAUGUUGGGCAUCCAAGUCCAAUAGAAAUUGAAGGGAGCGAGCCAUUAAUUGGAUUCGAUGUGCGUCUACGCGGAGCGCGCACAGGGAGACAGACCGGGCAGACAUAGCGGGUCCACGUUUGAUUCAACUCUCCACUGGUUAUAGAUGUUGGUCAAAAAUUGAACUCCACGGCACACAGCAUCUCACAUUUUCUGGCAGCGGCGUCCGCAGUGGGCAACAAAGCUAAGCUAUCUCCACCGUCCACACCCAAUCUUGGACCGUUUGAUCUAGCUGUCGGUUUCUUCCUUCUGGUAAAAAUAGAGAGAGCACAAAAAACGAACUAAUAUAAUAUAGCCCAAAAAGAAAAAAAGAAAAAAAGAAAAAACACGUUGAGCAUUUCAAAGACCAGUUUAUAUGGUACAUAGAGACGCGCCGCCAGCCACGAUUUUGUUAAAGACUCACUCCCUUCGUUUCCUUGAGAGUUUGGCGCCGGCAGCUUGCACCGGUCUAAAUCUAAACCAACCAGAGCAUCUGCCUCUGCCUCGCUCUCUCUCUCUCUCUCAAGGAACACCAUAGGACUAAAGCGCGGUCAAGGC
RNAcentral lists this long non-coding RNA (787 nucleotides) under Rosa chinensis. Lineage: Eukaryota; Viridiplantae; Streptophyta; Magnoliopsida; Rosales; Rosaceae. The record is from RNAcentral.